CAGUAGCCGCGGUAAUACGAAGGGGGCUAGCGUUGCUCGGAAUUACUGGGCGUAAAGGGAGCGUAGGCGGAUCGUUAAGUUGGGGGUGAAAGCCCGGGGCUCAACCUCGGAACUGCCUUCAAUACUGGCGAUCUUGAGUAUGAGAGAGGUGUGUGGAACUCCGAGUGUAGAGGUGAAAUUCGUAGAUAUUCGGAAGAACACCAGUGGCGAAGGCGACACACUGGCUCAUUACUGACGCUGAGGCUCGAAAGCGUGGGGAGCAAACAGGAUUAGAUACCCCUGUAGUCCCUGUCUCUUAUAC
RNAcentral lists this ribosomal RNA (301 nucleotides) under uncultured bacterium. RNAcentral's name for it is "partial 16S ribosomal RNA". It matches the Rfam family "Bacterial small subunit ribosomal RNA", at positions 509 to 807 of the family's 1533-position model. The record is from RNAcentral.